UAGUCAUAUGCUUGUCUCAAAGAUUAAGCCAUGCAUGUGUCAGUACAGGCCGCUUACAAGGCUAAACCGCGAAUGGCUCAUUAAACCAGUUAUAAUCCACUAGAUGGAAACCAAUUACUCGGAUAACCCUGGUAAUUCUAGAGCUAAUACGUGCAACAUGCCCUGACCGCAAGGGAAGGGUGCUUUUAUUAGUUGAAAACCUGUCGGUCUUCGGUCCGUAAACACUACGUGACGACUCUGAAUAACUUUGUGCAGAGAGCACGGCCUCCGCGCCGGCUCCAUGUCUUUCGAGUUUCUGCCUUAUCAUGCUUUGGAUUGUAGGACAUUCGCCUACAAUGGCUGUAACGGGUGACGGGGAAUCAGGGUUCGAUUCCGGAGAGGGAGCCUGAGAAACGGCUACCACAUCCAAGGAAGGCAGCAGGCACGCAAAUUACCCAAUCCCAGCUCUGGGAGGUAGUGACGAAAAAUAAUGAUGCGGGACACAUCCGUGUCUUCGUAAUCAGAAUGAGCGGACCUCAAAAAAGUCCGCGACAACCAAUUGGAGGGCAAGUCUGGUGCCAGCAGCCGCGGUAAUUCCAGCUCCAAUAGCGUAUAUUAAAGUUGUUGCG
Molecule: ribosomal RNA, 608 nt
Filed under: Latreutes parvulus
Lineage: Eukaryota; Metazoa; Arthropoda; Malacostraca; Decapoda; Hippolytidae
Description: bacterial SSU rRNA
Rfam family: Eukaryotic small subunit ribosomal RNA
Source: RNAcentral